This 336-nucleotide unclassified non-coding RNA is filed under the name soil metagenome. RNAcentral describes it as "partial contains 5.8S ribosomal RNA, internal transcribed spacer 2, and large subunit ribosomal RNA". The stretch from base 1 to 120 matches the Rfam family "5.8S ribosomal RNA", at positions 35 to 154 of the family's 154-position model. The record is from RNAcentral.
GAUGAAGAACGUAGCGAAAUGCGAUAAGUAAUGUGAAUUGCAGAAUUCAGUGAAUCAUCGAAUCUUUGAACGCACAUUGCGCCCGCCAGUAUUCUGGCGGGCAUGCCUGUUCGAGCGUCAUUUCAACCAUCAAGCCCCCGGCUUGUGUUGGGGACCUGCGGCUGCCGCAGGCCCUGAAAACCAGUGGCGGGCUCGCUAGUCACUCCGAGCGUAGUAAUACAUCUCGCUCAGGGCGUGCUGCGGGUUCCGGCCGUUAAACAGCCUUACAAAACCCAAGGUUGACCUCGGAUCAGGUAGGAAGACCCGCUGAACUUAAGCAUAUCAAUAAGCGGAGGA